Molecule: long non-coding RNA, 563 nt
Organism: Peromyscus maniculatus bairdii (prairie deer mouse)
Lineage: Eukaryota; Metazoa; Chordata; Mammalia; Rodentia; Cricetidae
Source: RefSeq, a predicted model, not a curated record
AUAAUGAGUCUCUGUGUGGUUAUUUGGGAGUGGGUUAAUAGGACAGAAAAGUCCACCUACAUUGUCCUUCAUUCCCCGACCCCCUACAUAAAUAAAUGUAACUUUAAAUAUUUUUAAAGAGAGUUAUGUUCAUUUUUGUCAAGUGUAGAGGAAAGAAUGUCAGAGCAGAAGAAAAGUCAGUUUCCUCCACCACCACCCCCCUUUGUUUUUUCGGACAAGAUUUCCUGCAGCCUCAGCUGGCCUGGAAUUCACUCUGUAACUGAAGAUGAUCUUGAACUCCUGAUCCUCCUGCAUCUGCCUCCCAGGCAUGCUGAUGUGUUUAGUGGGGAGGUGUACUGAUGCUGGCACUUUCUUCAGUACACCAACAUGGGAGAUGGAUUCAUGUAAGGCAGAAGCACAGCUCUGACCUCUGGUUGCAUCUGAGCUACAAGACUGCAUGUAUCAGGGCUGAAGAGACGGCUAUGUGGUCUAUUCAUGUAGUGGGUAGCUGUUCCAGCUUUGACCUGGAAAUACCACCCCCUUUGAGGCUUCGGUAACUAUCACGCCUACAAGGUGGAGCUGAG